UGCCAGCCGCCGCGGUAAUACGAAGGGGGUUAGCGUUGUUCGGAAUUACUGGGCGUAAAGCGCGCGUAGGCGGACUAUUAAGUCAGGGGUGAAAUCCCGGGGCUCAACCCCGGAACUGCCCUUGAUACUGGCAGUCUUGAGUACGGGAGAGGAAAGUGGAAUUCCGAGUGUAGGAGUGAAAUCCGUAGAUAUUCGGAGGAACACCAGUGGCGAAGGCGGCUCUCUGGACCAAUACUGACGCUGAGGUGCGAAAGCGUGGGUAGCAAACGGGAUUAGAUA
Molecule: ribosomal RNA, 279 nt
Filed under: uncultured bacterium
Lineage: Bacteria
Description: partial 16S ribosomal RNA
Rfam family: Bacterial small subunit ribosomal RNA
Source: RNAcentral